GAUGAACGCUGGCGGCGUGCCUAAUACAUGCAAGUCGAGCGAACAGAUGAGGAGCUUGCUCCUCUGACGUUAGCGGCGGACGGGUGAGUAACACGUGGAUAACCUACCUAUAAGACUGGGAUAACUUCGGGAAACCGGAGCUAAUACCGGAUAAUAUAUUGAACCGCAUGGUUCAAUAGUGAAAGACGGUUUUGCUGUCACUUAUAGAUGGAUCCGCGCCGCAUUAGCUAGUCGGUAAGGUAACGGCUUACCAAGGCAACGAUGCGUAGCCGACCUGAGAGGGUGAUCGGCCACACUGGAACUGAGACACGGACCAGACUCCUACGGGAGGCAGCAGUAGGGAAUCUUCCGCAAUGGGCGAAAGCCUGACGGAGCAACGCCGCGUGAGUGAUGAAGGUCUUCGGAUCGUAAAACUCUGUUAUUAGGGAAGAACAAAUGUGUAAGUAACUAUGCACGUCUUGACGGUACCUAAUCAGAAAGCCACGGCUAACUACGUG
Molecule: ribosomal RNA, 497 nt
Filed under: uncultured bacterium
Lineage: Bacteria
Description: partial 16S ribosomal RNA
Rfam family: Bacterial small subunit ribosomal RNA
Source: RNAcentral